Molecule: long non-coding RNA, 228 nt
Organism: Actinia tenebrosa (Australian red waratah sea anemone)
Lineage: Eukaryota; Metazoa; Cnidaria; Anthozoa; Actiniaria; Actiniidae
Source: RefSeq, a predicted model, not a curated record
ACAACCUGUUCAUCUGAGGAAUGCUGAAGGAUCAAAUCUUAGUUAACUGACAGUCACUUCGGACACUGGACACCCGGUAUCGAGCAUUUAAUUCAACCGGUCUCCCGCAAGUUCUGUUGUUCCUUAGUAACAAUGAAAAGAAAAGAGAUAGAAUACUGUGGCGAGGAUGAAACCCGAUGACUCUAGACUGACACCUAAUACACUUGAAGUAAGGCACUCCAAGAGAGA